CUUAAGUUCUUUCUUUCUUUCUUUCCUUCUUUUCAUUUUUUCCCCCUUUUCUUAUUUACUAUUUAUCAGUUUAGGCAGAUGAGAGACUUCUAAAUUUUUCAUGCAAAUUUUCCUACGGUACUUUCCUCUGUCUAAAUUUACAUGCUAUUUGCAAUUGUAUGAAGCAUAGACCCCCAGAGUUCUGCUGUUAUAACUCUGCGCGACUAAUCAAUGGUGGAAACAAAUAGUUAAAAAGAAAAAGAGCAAUAACAACAACAAAAAGCAACUAGUGGGGACUGCAGGCUAUGAGGAAUUCCUCAUCAAUCUAGACUUGUAUGGGCUCCUUACUCAUCUGCCAUGUGAGAUCAGGAACUGGGGGCUGAGUGUGGCAGCCUUUGCAGAGUGCCUUGGCUGCCAAUGUCUUUCACAUGCUGGAAAGGAGAAGAAAGAUGUGCUGAUUUCUAACACAAGCAAGCCGAAGUCCUUCUGGCACGUACAGUUAUGGAGAGAAAUGGCAACACUCAAAUUGCCUGCUGGAAAUCUCUGUCCAUGAUUCAUAUGUUUCUUGGGAUGCUUCUGGCC
Molecule: long non-coding RNA, 561 nt
Organism: Gallus gallus (chicken)
Lineage: Eukaryota; Metazoa; Chordata; Aves; Galliformes; Phasianidae
Source: Ensembl